ACCUGGCUAGCUCAACUGGUAGAGCAUGAGACUCUUAAUCUCAGGGUUAUUGGUUCAAGGCCCAUGUUGGGCA
Non-coding RNA from Pygocentrus nattereri (red-bellied piranha), 73 nucleotides. Lineage: Eukaryota; Metazoa; Chordata; Actinopteri; Characiformes; Serrasalmidae. The record is from the annotation of a RefSeq genome assembly.